UACGGAGGAGGCAAGCGUUAUCCGGAAUUAUUGGGCGUAAAGCGUCCGCAGGUGGCGAUUCAAGUCUGCGGUCAAAGACUGGGGCUUAACCCUGGAAAGGCCGUGGAAACUGAAUAGCUAGAGUGCAGUAGGGGUAGAGGGAAUUCCCGGUGUAGCGGUGAAAUGCGUAGAGCUCGGGAAGAACAUCGGUGGCGAAAGCGCUCUGCUAGACUGCAACUGACACUCAGGGACGAAAGCUAGGGGAGCGAAUGGG
Molecule: ribosomal RNA, 253 nt
Filed under: uncultured bacterium
Lineage: Bacteria
Description: partial 16S ribosomal RNA
Rfam family: Bacterial small subunit ribosomal RNA
Source: RNAcentral